CACGUAGGGGGCGAGCGUUGUCCGGAUUUAUUGGGCGUAAAGAGCUCGUAGGCGGCUCAGUAAGUCAGGUGUGAAAACUCCAGGCUCAACCUGGAGACGCCACCUGAUACUGCUGUGGCUAGAGUCCGGUAGGGGAGCAUGGAAUUCCUGGUGUAGCGGUGAAAUGCGCAGAUAUCAGGAGGAACACCAAUGGCGAAGGCAGCUCGCUGGGACGGUACUGACGCUGAGGCGCGAAAGCGUGGGGAGCAAACAGG
This 254-nucleotide ribosomal RNA is filed under the name uncultured bacterium. RNAcentral's name for it is "partial 16S ribosomal RNA". It matches the Rfam family "Bacterial small subunit ribosomal RNA", at positions 524 to 776 of the family's 1533-position model. The record is from RNAcentral.